This 114-nucleotide ribosomal RNA is filed under the name Acanthosepion pharaonis. Lineage: Eukaryota; Metazoa; Mollusca; Cephalopoda; Sepiida; Sepiidae. The record is from RNAcentral.
UACAGCCAUAUCAUGUUGAAACACCAGUUCUCAUACAAUCACUGAAGUUAAGCAACAUUGAGCCUAGUCAUUAGCUAGAUGGGUGACCCAUUUGGGAAUACCAGGUGCUGUAAG